UGGGUAACCUGCCUCAAAGAGGGGAGUAGCCUCCUGAAAGGGAGAUUAAUACCGCAUAAUAUGUUUAAGUCGCAUGACUUUAACAUCAAAGGAUUUUCUUUUAAGAAAUUCCACUUUGAGAUGGACCCCGCGGCGCAUUAGCUAGUUGGUGAGGUAACGGCUCACCAAGGCAACGACGCGUAGCCGACCUGAGAGGGUGAUCGGCCACAUUGGAACUGAGACACGGUCCAGCUCCGUAGGGAG
This 243-nucleotide ribosomal RNA is filed under the name uncultured bacterium. RNAcentral describes it as "partial 16S ribosomal RNA". It matches the Rfam family "Bacterial small subunit ribosomal RNA", at positions 118 to 347 of the family's 1533-position model. The record is from RNAcentral.